This 29-nucleotide non-coding RNA is filed under the name Rattus norvegicus (Norway rat). Lineage: Eukaryota; Metazoa; Chordata; Mammalia; Rodentia; Muridae. The record is from RNAcentral.
UGAGCAUUUGUUGAAGUGUCUACCUUUGU